Taeniopygia guttata (zebra finch) is the source of this 8551-nucleotide long non-coding RNA. The record is from Ensembl. Lineage: Eukaryota; Metazoa; Chordata; Aves; Passeriformes; Estrildidae.
UUUUUUUUUUACAAGGAACAGUUUGGUGCUCUUUGUGAUCACAUCACAAAUAGCAUGUUGAGAAUUUGCUGAUUUUUUUGGUAAAUCCCAAGUUCUAAUAAUUUGCAGCUACAAUUGCUUGUAGCCCUAAUACUAUAAUCACUUCUAAAACUUGACAUGUAGGGAAUUUUUUCCUUACUAAAAUUAUGUAGAGCUGCAUUAAAAUGAUAAUGGAGAAAAAGGAGUGAUGGCUGCAAAGGAAACUGUAGAACCAGAGUUGAGAGAAGGCUGAAGAGUAUGAUUUCAUUCAAACGAAAAGGAGGAAAUUAUCUAAAUAAUGAAUUAAAUGUGUGAUUUCAUUCAAAUGAAAAGAAGGAACUACCCUAAAUAGAGGUGUCAGGAAGAUGAGCACCUGAACUGGAGCCCUAAGAUAUUCUGAUGGAGAACAUUUUGUGCUUGUGAGUGUUUGGGUGAGAGUUCCACUGACUAAAGUCAGUGUGAUCAGAUUGACUUUUAAAUAAAUACCAUCUUUCUUUUCAUAAGAUCUCACACAGGAUUUUGUUACAGGAGUUUCCUACAACAAAGUUAAAAUCUUAUUGUGUAAAUGCUUGGAGGGCCAGAGAAUCAUAUGACAAUUGGUACAUUAUGAAAGGAAGUUGCAGGAAUUUUCCUCCAACUUUAUAAGUUUUAAAUCUACUAAGAGGAAUUAAUUUUAGUCCUCUACACCAAAUAAUCAAAAAUGCCUGCACAGAGAACUGGCUGAUGAGAUGAGCCCCGUUAAGAGCUGCCCCUCUGUGUGACAGUUCCUGCUGUCCCCCCUCUUUGGAGGAUGUUUUUGGCAUCCUGCAGGUUUGGGGGCUGCUGCACACAGCCGGCUCCCAGCUGACAGCUCCAUUUGCAGCCACUUCUGGCAGGAGGCAAAAGUCUUCAGUUGUUAGGACAGAGUGAGGCAGUGUAGGACCUAUUGUGGUGUUCUCUCAGAAUAUCCAGUGUUUUCCUCUCUUCCCUGUGCUUGUUUUCCCCUGUUCCACGAGGGCUGGGUGAGGCUCUUUUGGACCAGAGCACAGAUGAAGGUCCCAGGGACCUUGGGCACUUCUCAGAAGGGUACAAAUAACACUUGAAGGGUGCUUUGAUUUGGGCCUGUCAAGAAGUUGUCUGGGGUUGGAGGAAUCCUUGGGGAUUAUCCAGCUAAAUAUUCAGUUACUGAAGAAAACCUAUUCCCAUUUAUAGCACCAUUUAUCAUUUUUGCUGCUGAGUCCCUUAUUUAAGACUAAAUUUAUGAGACUUCUUAUUAGAUCCGGUUUCUAUUUGGAAUCCUGAAGUAUCAAAAGAAUAGGAUGUAUCCCACAUCUAAAAAAACCCAAGAACUUAAAAAAAUAUUAUUAUUUAUUUUUAAAUGAUUUUUUAAAAAAUUUUAUUCCAGGCAAUGCUGCUGUCGUCUGAGGAACAUCUCAAAGCACAGUGCCCCACAUCAGGCAUCAUUCACAACUUCCUUCUCAUCCCACCAAAGAACCCUGAGCUGUAUUUCCUCAUUUCCCUUCUCUUAAUAGUCCAUUUUCCUUCCCCACCUUCUCACAUUGCUGUCCUGGCAUUCCCUUGCAUGUGAUAUUUAUAUAGUUCUUAGCUGGAAAUGGAUUUCUUCUGGACCUAGAAUGGUCUGGGAAUUGCAUUACACUCCAAGGUGACUUUCCCUGUAGUUACAGCUCUGUUUCCUAUGCUAGCAGGCACCAAAGUCCUGGCUCUACCCUGCUUUUGUCAUAUGAUGCAUUUUUCCUCUUAAACAAGGAAUUUCCUUGAAACUAUUGUUAUUUUUAGCCUAAAAUCACCUGACAGUUUCUGAUGUCACGUUGUGAUUCAGCUCCUUCGCCUGAACAAGUGAAGAAACUGUCACUAUUUUACUACAAAAUUGUUGGUGUUUGCUAUUUAGGAGUCUUGAGCUUCUGGGAUUGUCACAGAUCUGCUGGGAUGAAAUCCCAAUAUAAUUCUGAAAGAGGAAUAUAGAUUAAAUUAAUGUAAUUUGCCAUUAAAAGUUUUCUCUUUCAUGUGAUAAUCUGAUUAGAACUGAGGCACUGUUUCAUAUUUUAUUACCCACAGAGGAGAGAUUUAUGCCAGGUUCUUGUCUCAUGUUUGAUUCAGAUCUUUGUGAACUGUUGGUAACUGGCAAAACAUCUCAGUAGAGUUAUUUGCAUGGAGCUUUCUGAGCCUCUUCUUCAGCAUUAUUGAUACAUCUCUAGAAAUAAACCUUUUUCUAAAGGUUCAGAGGCUUUAGUUCAUGUGGAUAAGCAUAGAACAUUUCACAUCACUUCCAAAGUGCAGCAAGAAUGUUUCUCUUGUGAAUUUUUUUCUUUUUUCUUUAAGGAUUGCCAUGAAUAAUGAUGGAGUUAUGACUCUGCAGCUCAGUGUCAAUCCACUGCAUAAACUCACCUGUGCUUUUGGAGAGGGCAGGGUGGUGCCUGAAUCAUGACUUUUUUUCUUUCUAGGAGAGAUUAGUUUAUUUUUCAAAUUUCAAGUAAUAUUUUCAAGCUGGUUUAAAGAAAGCAUUUGGGUUUGUACCUUAGAUAAAUGACAGACAUUUGAUCUCUGGUGCAACCCAAACACAAAAAAUGUUUGAAGUGAGGGGGAUAAAAACUACGUUAUCUUCAACUGAAAUGAUUUCUGUGAGUGCUCACUUCUCCAGUGUUGCAUUUUUUAUUAACCUGUUUUGUCUCCUUAAAUUUCUUUGUCUGGACAAUAGAACACAGUGAAGAACAUUUCGGUGGAGUUACUGGAGGUGAUGGGCCUGACUCACCAUGACUGAAACGUGUAAAAAAUGAUGAUCUCUGUAAAAGUCACAACAGAAUUGUCCAGAUCUUAUCUGGGCAUCUAGAAGAGAUGAGAAUCCCUCUGCUCAGGAGAAUGGGAUGCAAUAGAGGUAUCACUCAUUGCAGCAGGAAAGAAUUCCACAAGAUCCAGACAGAGGUAUUGUGUGUGUUCCUGGUUCAGGCCAGUGUUAUGGGUAUGCCUUACCUCUUGGCCUUGAUUGCAGGCACUAUGAACUUCUCAAGGCAAGAACAGGGUGUUUGGAAAGUGCUUGGCGUGUCAUGGAUCCUACUAGGAAUAAUAAUAAUACUCAGAAAAAAAGGAUUUCUUGGUUUUAGCAUGAGGCAAACUUCUUGUCAAAAGUGCUGACCAAUUGAGUUGAAAUAUGCUUGCAUUUGGUGUGGGUUCUGAAAGUGUUAAACCUUAUAAAAGCUUUCAUGCUGCUGAAUUCACCCUUCAGGGAAAGUCACUGGAAGUCUGGGACCUGUUGCUCAACACAGAAAGAAGCAGAGCACAAUAAAAUUUUGAGCAUCUUCCCCUUAGGCCUCAAGGCUCCAAAUCCUGUGAGAAGGUUGGGUUUUGCUGAAUGAUGGGAGGGAUAAUGUUGCAUUCCCUACUCAGAAAGCAGCUGCUAGGUCUGGCAUUGGGAUGGGGCUGGGAAGUGGAGAGGAAUUCAGAGUCCUGAAGAUCUUCUGGCUCCUCCUCUGCCUCACUAGACAUUUGUAGAAGCUCUUUUUCUGCAGCAGUGAAGAUGAUACAUGGAUGGAGCUGGGCUUCCAGGAAUGCUCUUGGAGCACGUGGGAUGCUGGGCCUUGUUUUUCUUGCCUCAGUGCUCACUGUGCCCACAUCCAUUCUCUCAGGUAAACAGAGUUGUGAUUUCUCUCUCCCUUCUCCUCCAUGUAGAACUGGAACAUGUGUUCCACUGGGCACCUUCAAAGUAGGUUAAGGGGCUGUCUGGUGCUUAAACAUCAAAAUAAUGUUGUGACCUCGUAGGUAUAAGCGGGUUUUGAGGCAAUGGUGUGAUUCCAGGUAGUGCUUGUGGAAUGGAUCUUCCUCCUCUGGUAAAUUAUCUGUUUUCAGGUGAUGCCACCCAGCUGUAAAUGUUGCUGCUUGUUCACAUCACCCCACAAUUCCUUCAUUUUGGUCUUCUGCUUGACUGGGACUGCAGCAGAGUUCUGACACAAUCUCAGCCAGGGUUCUGUUGUUCCUGAUUGAAGUCAAUGAGUGCUCUUAGUGCACACAAAAAAUUGCAACCCAGUGAGGCUUCCACCCACUCCCUGACAGUCCUCAAGGAAAUGUCAGCAGCCACUGAUGGGAAGAGGCCUCCUAACUCAGAGUGAGCCCUGUUUCCCUUUGCAGUGCCUGUUUCAGUGGGAAAUGUGUAUUUUUAAUUAUCUGCUGUCCUUAUUUGAAGAGAUGUGUCCCUGCACUGUAUAAAUGUACUCCUUCUUGUUCCUUGAGGUUUGAAGAUGCCCGUAAAUCAUCCCAGCAGGAACACCAAGCAUCAUAGUCUUAAGAGCAUUCUCUUGGCCAGAUUAUUCCCCUACAGCUCUGGGGAAGAGUGAAAUUGGGAAGGAAUCCUAAUGGAGAGACCAGAAGUGAAGAGCUACAGUCUCCAGCAGCCUCAGCUGAGAGGUAGAGAGCCCUGAGCAUGAAACUUUGCUGCAGAUGUGGAGAAAGAUGAAUCUGUUCCAUCUCCCACACAGCUGGAGAAGGGGCAGAGUAUUAAUUAAAUUGGAGGACACAAGAGCCUGUCUGGAAGGGAUUCUGCAUGGAGAGGAGGUGCAAACCCAGAGGAACAACAUGAAAUGCAGCCAGAUGUUCUUCUAAAAUGGAAGAGUUAAAAAUCCAAGCUCAAAGAAAAGGAAAAAAGGAGAAAUCUUUAUUCUAGAAAAUGAGAAACUGCUUAUCAGAGGAAAUGUGGAUGUGUGAUGCCAGGAUGGGGCAGUUUGCUCUCCAGUUCCUGUGCUUCCUCUGAGGUGGUUUGACUUUUGAAAUAUAUAAAAGGUGACUUGUUGUUUGUUUCUUGUACUGGAAAAGAUGGAACGGGGAAAGAGGGCAGAUUUUGCACCACUAAUGUGCAAAUAUGCAAAUAAUGUGCAAAUAGAGGCAUUCCCUUACUGUCUGUUGAUAUUGAAAACAGCCUGAAAUGGCUUUUUAGCUUUUGACUGGGAAAAAUAACAGGAAUAAUCAAAGGAUCUUAUUAGUUAGAAAAGAAGCAAGCAGCCUCAACAUGAAUUUUGUGUUUGCUGUGUUGUGAAGAGAAACAACACUAUAUUGGUGGUGGCAGUGAAGAUGAAUUCUGGGGAUGUAGAUAAGAUAUCCUAAUGCUUCCAUGUUCUCCAGGGAUGUCAGUUAGCAGGUAACAAGUCUGAUCUGGGGCUAAGGGGAAUGGAUAGAUAAAAAAAUCCAGUCUAACAGGUCAGAUCCUGAGAACUGAGUUGUACUUCCUGCAAAGUCAAUGGUAGGGAUCUUCCUGGAAUAAAUGCUUGGAAAUGUGCUGUUAAGUGCUUUUCUGUCACACAUCCCUCUUUUCUGAAGCUGGGAUCCAGGCCCGAUCAGCAGUUAGCCACUGAACACCUGCCCCAGUACAAAAUGGCCAAGUUUAUCCAGAGAGCUGAGAUGCUGCAACAAGUCACCCUCACUUUCCUGACCUGCAGUUUCCAAUGCUCUGGAGCACUGGGAUAUGGUUGGAAUUGUGCUCUAGGAAAAUGUUACCCCUGGAACAGCUCUGUUAAUCUCUAGCAAGUCACUUGAAACCUGCAGUGCUGGCCCAGGCAUUCAGUGCAAACAAAGCACAAGCUGCUGUAGCACAUUUGUGUCAGGGUUUCCUGAUUCCAAGUGCAGUCAGAUACAGCCUAAAAUGAACCAUUGUUGUAACAAUGACAAGAGAGGCUGGGGUGAAAAUCAUGUUAUUUCCUUUGGAAAGAAAAGAGUUCUAUUUUUAACUAUUUUCCCCUUAAUCUUACUAUUUUGUUCUACCAGUGUUUAUAGCAGAGAGUACAAUACUUCUUGUUGUGAUUGUUCUUUGUGUGACUGGGAUAUAAGUAGAUGUUCUGCAGCAAAUUGUCCGGGAUACAGAGUCCAAAGAGAUUAUGCUGCAGGAAGUUCUAAAAAAAAACCCAAACCCUUACACAAUCCCCCACUCACUCCCUCCAAAAAGCCAUAACCCAAACAAAUAAAAACCCUGAAAGACUGUCAUAGUUCCAAAAUAGCCACCAAAAAUAUGUGCUAGGCUUAAAACAGAAGUCUGGGGGAAAUGAUUGUCAGAUCCCUGGGUGCAUUUGAGAACUGAUUUAUGUACAUGAAACAGAAAAAAAAGAAAAACACACUUGGGCUGUGCUUGUGUGUUCUCACUGAGAUAAAUGAACAGCUCCUCUCAUUCUUUGCUUCCCCAUCUUUAUUAGCAGUCAUCUGAUCUUCCCUCCCCUUCUGCAUCCACUAAUCCUCACCAAAACGGCUGGAAAGAACUUCUGUUCUUUUUGGAGUGUUUUCCUGAGAUUAUUUCUACUACUUCAGCAAGCUCAGUAGAGUUACUGGAUGCUCAGAAGGACUUUUUGGUCUGGACUUUACAAACCUUGGACCCUGUUCAACAGCCAGGAGAGAGGAGAGGGACUGCUCCCUGUCACCUGAAACAAACUUAGUUCAUUUCAAACAGUUCUUUGAGAGCAGACAUUGGUAAAGUAUAAAAAAAUUCACAGGUACUUUACCAAGUACAUUCUUCUGCUUCAGCCCUUUGUUCUCAUUUAUGUAUCCACAGCAAUCAAUGCACAAAUUACAAAUAAUUUAUCAGGCUAUGAUAUUUUCCAUUGUUUUGCAGGACGCUGCCUGAAGGAAACAGCAGAGCUGGAGGCUUGUGUUGAGUGGGUGAUGUAUGAAAGGAGACUGUGGCAGUGAGUUAGGAUGGAGCAUAAGUCACAAAUAAAAGGGAAGCAGAUUUUCAGCAGCUCUGUGUUCAUUGUUUAGACAAUGUGUUUUACUGAGGCUCUGAUAAUCUAAUAUUUAAAGAAAAAUCCCCAAAUCCAACCCCAUAGUAGAAACUACCUGGUUACUGCAAGAUGAUCUGUGUAAGUGGACAAAUUGGGAUGUGCAGCUUCUUUGGAUAAUUUUGUACUCUGCUCUGAGAAACCUCCAGGCAUCUCAUCUACAGACUUGGCUCUUUUAUCCUAAUAUUUAUCCCUUCCAGAAUGUCUUUUGCCUGAGGAGUUCAAAGCUUUUUGCAGACUUUGUAGAGCUUUCUUUGUCAAGAUACAAGACUUGUGAGAACGUGAUGGAAAGCAGGGACAGUGCUGGAAGGUCCUGGAUGUUCCCCCCUUGGUUUCCCUGCCCCUUCAGCUGCCAGCAGAAGCAGGGAAUGGAAAUUCUUUGGGAUGUGGCAACUCUGACUCAAAAAGAGUACUAUUCCACAGAACCAUCUUCCAGGGUGAAUUUUAUUUUCAUUUAGUGUUAAAUCGAGUGCAGUCACAGGUUACCAGUGCAGAGUUCAACUGGGUGCCCUCAAAUAGGAUUUUGGGAUUUUCCACAUUUUGUAGCUGCUGGCUCUGUAUGAGGGUGGGAAAGCAGAGAGCUGAGCUGGUUGUGGUGCUGCCUGUGAGGUGUCUGAGAGAGAAUUGACUAUUGCAUAAACCUGAACAGCUUUUUCCUAGUUACCUUUUACACAAAGUUGAAUAUUACCCAGGAGUUGUGUGGCUGGUUGGCAACUGAGGGCUUUUUCUGGGUAACAGUGAGCUGCCUUUCAGUGGGAAAGGGAGGAGAGGGAGCUGUGGGAACAAGAGGGGCUGUGUGCCAGUUCUCAGGGUCAGGAACAAGCUGGAACAGGCAAACAGGUACCCAGUGAGCUCCUGGAGCAGAGUUCAACUCAGCCUCAGCUCACUAGGCCUGAAGUAAAUCAGCAUUAACAGAGCACCAGGAGAAGGAAGGCUUCACCCAGGGAUAAACUGAGUCUGCUUAACAAGCAAGGGAUACAGGAACUCUCACUGCCCUGGGAAGUCUCAUCAUUCUGCUGUAUCACAGAUUUUAUGAACCCAUUUGUAGGUGUGUGUUCGGAGUGGAUAUUUUGCAUGAGCAGCCCCAGAUGAACUGCAGCACUUUGGGCUGGAAUUCUGCUGAGCAAUGUUUGCAGCUGCAGUUUUGGUUAGAAGACUCAGAGUUCAAAACCCCAAACUGGUCCUUUUUGAGUGCUGUUACCUCACACGCAGCUGUUUGUGAGGCUGAUCUGAGAGCUCAUUGCUGGAGUAGCUGGGAUGGUGCCCUUGGCAAUUCCAGUACCUUGGGGAUGAAGGUGUUACAGGAUGGAGCUCCCCAGAGCAGAGCUUAAAGAAUGGCACACACCAAAAGCUGAUUUUUUGAUUGUUUGCUUUUACUACUUAUUGCAAGCAUACUCUGUGUGUCUUUUACCCAUCUUAGAAAAAUGUGGGAUGGCAUGGGAGACACAUUAAAAAGUACAGCAAGUUAACCUGAGAACAAGGUACACCUACAAAUGUGGAAAGCUGUGUCUGAAAUAAUCUGAAUAACGUGGUUUGUACCAGUCCAUUAUCCUGGCAACCAGAAUUUCCAAGCUGUGUUGGUAGCCUGGUUGCUACAGUUAAUCAGCAACCUGUCUAAUCUCACUAACCUUCUUUUUGUAACCUGCCUAACUAUUGUGUAAUCUGCUUAUGGCACUGAGCACUGACUAUUAGUAAAGUUUGGAGCUGUGCAAGUGCAAAUAAUUUUGUUUUCAGUCUUGUUCACAGCUGGCUUCCAUGGUGUUUGUGCUCAUGAAAUUAAACCUGAU